This 21-nucleotide non-coding RNA is filed under the name Arabidopsis thaliana (thale cress). Lineage: Eukaryota; Viridiplantae; Streptophyta; Magnoliopsida; Brassicales; Brassicaceae. The record is from RNAcentral.
UGGAAAGUGUUUUAUGUUUCA